GGACAACCUGCCCUCGGGAGGGGGAUAACCCCGGGAAACUGGGGCUAAACCCCCAUAGGGGAUGGAUACUGGAAUGUUCCAUCUCCGAAAGUCCGCAAGGAGCCCGAGGAUGGGUCUGCGGCGGAUUAGGUAGUUGGUGGGGUAACGGCCCACCAAGCCUAAGAUCCGUACGGGCCAUGGGAGUGGGAGCCCGGAGAUGGACCCUGAGACAAGGGUCCAGGCCCUACGGGGCGCAGCAGGCGCGAAACCUCCGCAAUGCGGGAAACCGCGACGGGGUCAGCCGGAGUGCCGAUGCUUGCAUCGGCUGUCGGGGAGCCUAAAAAGCUCUCCAAGCAAGGGCCGGGCAAGGUCGGUGGCAGCCGCCGCGGUAAUACCGGCGGCCCGAGUGGCGGUCACUAUUAUUGGGCUUAAAGCGUCCGUAGCCGGGUUGGUUAGUCUCCCGGGAAAUCUGGCCGCUCAACGGUCAGAAUUCCGGGAGAUACUGCCAGCCUAGGGACCGGGAGAGGCCGAGGGUAUUCCCGGAGUAGGGGUGAAAUCCUAUAAUCCCGGGAGGACCACCUGUGGCGAAGGCGCUCGGCUGGAACGGGUCCGACGGUGAGGGACGAAGGCCAGGGGAGCGAACCGGAUUAGAUACCCGGGUAGUCCUGGCUGUAAACGAUGCGGACUUUGUGUCGGACAAGCUAUGAGCUUGUCCGGUGCCGGAGGGAAACCGUU
Molecule: ribosomal RNA, 714 nt
Filed under: uncultured Archaeoglobus sp.
Lineage: Archaea; Methanobacteriati; Methanobacteriota; Archaeoglobi; Archaeoglobales; Archaeoglobaceae
Description: bacterial SSU rRNA
Rfam family: Archaeal small subunit ribosomal RNA
Source: RNAcentral